This 524-nucleotide long non-coding RNA is filed under the name Sus scrofa (pig). RNAcentral describes it as "lncRNA (ENSSSCG00040017002.1)". The record is from RNAcentral. Lineage: Eukaryota; Metazoa; Chordata; Mammalia; Artiodactyla; Suidae.
GGAGGAUCUGAUGUUGCAUUUCAUGUUCAAAAGCAAUUUGAAAGCAGAAAUCCCCAUUCCUGGUAAGGUUCGUCUUUUUUCUCUAAAACCUUCCACCAGUUGGACAAGGAUUACUCACAUAAUGGAAGCCUCAGGACUCUUGCUGCUGUUUUUGCCAUUGGGAUUUGCAGCCCUGGAAACAAGAUCCUGUGCUUGGUGGUGCCCUCCAAACCCUCCGUGUAUCAAUGCCGAUAACUGCCGUUGCUUUCCAGGAUUUGGUUCUUCAUCUGAGGUGACAUUCACUGGCCCCUUGGAGAGUUGUGAUGUAUACGUGUGUCAUUUAAUAUUGAAGGAAAAGUAAGUUUUAUCAGAGAAAAAAAGAUGCGAUAACUGCACAGUCCUUCCAUGACCCAAAAGGUAUCCUAAAGUUUCCUUUGUGCUUUUGCGUAUGAGUGUCUCAUGGAGAUUUAUAUACUAGGUGAACAUGAAGAGGAGAUUCUGCUGCUAAUGUAACUGGAUCCUGUCCCCUCCCUGGGAGCACACUU